AAUAAGAUAAGCUAAAUUGAAGCUAGUGGGCUCAUAACCCAAAAAUGAUAAACCUCUCUUAUUA
This 64-nucleotide transfer RNA is filed under the name Potamilus streckersoni. RNAcentral's name for it is "tRNA-Met". Lineage: Eukaryota; Metazoa; Mollusca; Bivalvia; Unionida; Unionidae. The record is from RNAcentral.